CGCGGCCUAUCAGCUUGUUGGUGAGGUAAUGGCUCACCAAGGCGACGACGGGUAGCCGGCCUGAGAGGGCGACCGGCCACACUGGGACUGAGACACGGCCCAGACUCCUACGGGAGGCAGCAGUGGGGAAUAUUACACAAUGGGCGAAAGCCUGAUGCAGCGGCGCCGCGUGAGGGAUGACGGCCUUCGGGUUGUAAACCUCUUUCAGCAGGGAAGAAGCGAAAGUGACGGUACCUGCAGAAGAAGCGCCGGCUAACUACGUGCCAGCAGCCGCGGUAAUACGUAGGGCGCAAGCGUUGUCCGGAAUUAUUGGGCGUAAAGAGCUCGUAGGCGGCUUGUCACGUCGGGUGUGAAAGCCCGGGGCUUAACCCCGGGUCUGCAUUCGAUACGGGCUAGCUAGAGUGUGGUAGGGGAGAUCGGAAUUCCUGGUGUAGCGGUGAAAUGCGCAGAUAUCAGGAGGAACACCGGUGGCGAAGGCGGAUCUCUGGGCCAUUACUGACGCUGAGGAGCGAAAGCGUGGGGAGCGAACAGGAUUAGAUACCCUGGUAGUCCACGCCGUAAACGGUGGGAACUAGGUGUUGGCGACAUUCCACGUCGUCGGUGCCGCAGCUAACGCAUUAAGUUCCCCGCCUGGGGAGUACGG
This 643-nucleotide ribosomal RNA is filed under the name uncultured bacterium. Its description in RNAcentral is "bacterial SSU rRNA". It matches the Rfam family "Bacterial small subunit ribosomal RNA", at positions 232 to 885 of the family's 1533-position model. The record is from RNAcentral.